This 253-nucleotide ribosomal RNA is filed under the name uncultured bacterium. RNAcentral describes it as "partial 16S ribosomal RNA". It matches the Rfam family "Bacterial small subunit ribosomal RNA", at positions 524 to 776 of the family's 1533-position model. The record is from RNAcentral.
UACGUGGGGGGCAAGCGUUGUUCGGAAUUACUGGGCGUAAAGGGCUCGUAGGCGGCCCACUAAGUCGGACGUGAAAUCCCUCGGCUUAACCGGGGAACUGCGUCCGAUACUGGAUGGCUUGAGUUCGGGAGAGGGAUGCGGAAUUCCAGGUGUAGCGGUGAAAUGCGUAGAUAUCUGGAGGAACACCGGUGGCGAAGGCGGCAUCCUGGACCGACACUGACGCUGAGGAGCGAAAGCCAGGGGAGCGAACGGG